CCUACGGGAGGCUGCAGUGGGGAAUAUUGGACAAUGGGCGAAAGCCUGAUCCAGCCAUGCCGCGUGUGUGAAGAAGGCCUUCGGGUUGUAAAGCACUUUCAGUGGGGAAGAAAGCCUUGGGGCUAAUACCCUCGAGGAAGGACAUCACCCACAGAAGAAGCACCGGCUAACUCCGUGCCAGCAGCCGCGGUAAUACGGAGGGUGCGAGCGUUAAUCGGAAUUACUGGGCGUAAAGCGCGCGUAGGCGGUCUGAUAAGCCGGUUGUGAAAGCCCCGGGCUCAACCUGGGAACGGCAUCCGGAACCGUCAGGCUAGAGUGCAGGAGAGGAAGGUAGAAUUCCCGGUGUAGCGGUGAAAUGCGUAGAGAUCGGGAGGAAUACCAGUGGCGAAGGCGGCCUUCUGGACUGACACUGACGCUGAGGUGCGAAAGCGUGGGUAGCAAACAGGAUUAGAUACCCCGGUAGUC
This 465-nucleotide ribosomal RNA is filed under the name Vreelandella stevensii. RNAcentral describes it as "partial 16S ribosomal RNA". It matches the Rfam family "Bacterial small subunit ribosomal RNA", at positions 338 to 795 of the family's 1533-position model. Lineage: Bacteria; Pseudomonadati; Pseudomonadota; Gammaproteobacteria; Oceanospirillales; Halomonadaceae. The record is from RNAcentral.